RNAcentral lists this ribosomal RNA (578 nucleotides) under uncultured marine eukaryote. RNAcentral's name for it is "bacterial SSU rRNA". It matches the Rfam family "Eukaryotic small subunit ribosomal RNA", at positions 622 to 1257 of the family's 1831-position model. The record is from RNAcentral.
AAAAGCUCGUAGUUGAAGGUCCGGCCUUCGGGUCUGUCUGGGAGGCAUAGGGAUAAGGUAAAACUUUUCUUUAUGUUGAAUAGACUUUUACUGUGAACAAAAUAGAGUGCUUAAAGCAGGCGAUAGCUUGAAUAUCUUAGCAUGGAAUAAUAGAAUAUGACUUUAUUCACUAUGUUGGUUUUUGAAUAGAGUAAUGGUUAACAGGAACAGUUGGGGGCAUUUGUAUUUAAUAGUCAGAGGUGAAAUUCUUAGAUUUAUUAAAGACAGACUAAUGCGAAGGCAUUUGCCAAGGAUGUUUUCAUUAAUCAAGAACGAAAGUUAGGGGAUCGAAGACGAUCAGAUACCGUCGUAGUCCUAACCAUAAACUAUACCGACUAGGGAUCAGCAGGGUACACCUCUGUUGGCACCUAAUGAGAAAUCAAAGUCUUUGGGUUCAUGGGGGAGUAUGGUUGCAAAGCCGAAACUUAAAGGAAUUGACGGAAGGAUACCAGCAUUAAUGGAGCCUGCGGCUUAAUUUGAUUCAACACGGGAAAACUUACCAGGGCAAAAUAUUGAUAGGAUUGACAGAUUGAUAGCUU